RNAcentral lists this long non-coding RNA (645 nucleotides) under Linum usitatissimum (flax). RNAcentral's name for it is "long non-coding RNA (LUSI_LNC003245)". Lineage: Eukaryota; Viridiplantae; Streptophyta; Magnoliopsida; Malpighiales; Linaceae. The record is from RNAcentral.
UUUGGUUUCUUCUAUGACAGCGACGACGUGCUCAAACUUCGGCGUUAGACUGCGAAGGAUCCUCUCCACGAUCUUCUUCUCGUCGAUAGUCUCUCCAGUGACUUUGAUCUGGUUCACUAUCUCUGCAACACGAGCAUGAAAGUCUUUGAUGCUUUCUCUUUCCAUCAUCGCCAGGUUGUCGAAUUGACGCCAUAGAUUUUGGCGUUUUAUGGAGAUUGCCUUCUCGGAACUUUAAAAUUUGUUCCUUGGGACUUCCCAAGCUUCUUUGACUGAUUUGAUCCCAAAAAUUCUCGAAAAUAUUGUUUUGCUCACAUCUUGCUGAAUUAUCCUCAAUGCGAUGUCGUUCCUCUUGACAUUCUCCUUAUGUUCCUUCAUCUUCGUCCCGCUUGUUUUGGGAUCGUCAUCUUUUGCCGAUUCCGUCUUUUUCCUGGUCGAUGUGGAGUCGUCUUCUUGUGUAGAUUGUUCGAUGCCUUCUUGAACAAUAUCCCACAUGUCUUGCGAAAUGAAGAUAGUCUCAAUUUGUGCUUUCCAAUAUUCUUACAAUUCUCCAUCAAAAAUUGGAAUUUGAUUUGGAGAGUUGGCGAACAUGGAACUUGACGAUGGUGCUGCCAUAGGAUUUUGAGAGGAUUCAUUUGGUAGAGGUUU